CCGGUCAAACGGGAGGAAAGUCCGGACACCACAGGGCGGGAUUCCCUUCGAAAGCGGGGGCGGCGCGGGUCAAGACGCGUCGACGGACAGUGCAACAGAGAAUAUACCGCCACGCCGGAUUCGUCCGGCGGGGUAAGGGUGAAAAGGUGGGGUAAGAGCCCACCGCGCCGGCGGCAACGACGGCGGCACGGUAAACCCAAUCCGGUGCAAGGCCAAAUAGGGGAGCGGGCGGCCCGUCCCAUGCUCCCGGGUGUGCUGCACCGUCGCAUCGGCGGCGGGGCCGGGAAACCGGCCAGAGGAAUGAAGGUGACCGUCGGGACCGCGAGGUCACGGCGGUACAAAAUCCGGCUUACAGC
Molecule: RNase P RNA, 356 nt
Filed under: zebrafish metagenome
Description: Bacterial RNase P class A
Rfam family: Bacterial RNase P class A
About the family: Ribonuclease P (RNase P) is a ubiquitous endoribonuclease, found in archaea, bacteria and eukarya as well as chloroplasts and mitochondria. Its best characterised activity is the generation of mature 5'-ends of tRNAs by cleaving the 5'-leader elements of precursor-tRNAs.
Source: RNAcentral